RNAcentral lists this unclassified non-coding RNA (343 nucleotides) under soil metagenome. RNAcentral's name for it is "partial contains 5.8S ribosomal RNA, internal transcribed spacer 2, and large subunit ribosomal RNA". The stretch from base 1 to 120 matches the Rfam family "5.8S ribosomal RNA", at positions 35 to 154 of the family's 154-position model. The record is from RNAcentral.
GAUGAAGAACGCAGCGAAAUGCGAAAAGUAAUGUGAAUUGCAGAAUUCAGUGAAUCAUCGAAUCUUUGAACGCACAUUGCGCCCGCUAGUAUUCUGGCGGGCAUGCCUGUCCGAGCGUCAUUUCAACCCUCAAGCCCCCGGGCUUGGUGUUGGGGAUCGGCGAGCCUCCGCGCCCGCCGUCCCCUAAAUCUAGUGGCGGUCUCGCUGUAGCUUCCUCUGCGUAGUAGCACACCUCGCACUGGGAAACAGCGCGGCCACGCCGUUAAACCCCCAACUUCUGAACGUUUGACCUCGGAUCAGGUAGGAAUACCCGCUGAACUUAAGCAUAUCAAUAAGCGGAGGA